This is a non-coding RNA of Erinaceus europaeus (western European hedgehog), 310 nucleotides long. The record is from Rfam. NCBI's taxonomy places the organism in Eukaryota, Metazoa, Chordata, Mammalia, Eulipotyphla, Erinaceidae.
GGAUGUGAGGGCAAUCUGGCUGCAACAUCUGUCACCCCAUUGAUCGCUAGGGUUUAUUUGGCUGAUCUGGCUGGCUAGGCGGGUGUCCCCUUCUUCCCUUUCCGCUCCAUGUGCAUCCCUCCCCAAGCUGCGUGUUCGGUGGAAGUGGACGACCUUCCCUGAAUAGAGAUGGACCAGUCUUCAGUGGAGGGUCUGCACUCCCCUGCUAGAACCUUCAAACAAGCUCUCAAGGUCCAAAUGGGAGCACCAUGCACAGUACCAAGAAAGCUUCAUGAAUGGAGUUGUAGGGUCCAUCCUCCCCCACCCCCAU